CACAAGGGACUUGCACGCCUGGUUAAAUCCAGUUCACUAUGAUGGCACAGUCACCUCUGAAGACGAGAACUGAAACUCAGUAGUCUUACGUCCCCUGAUCCAUGAAAUAAUCCUUCACAUCUCCUGGGCCUUAAACUUGCCCUUUUCAUGUGAGAAUAAUUAUAUUGUUGAAUGAUGGAGGAUUUUCAAGGUCACUCUAGUGACAACAUAAAUCAGCUCUGCCAUUCUAAAAGGAAAUACCACCUUACACACAUCCAGAGACGACAGUACUGUGCAAGAUGAAUUUAAAUGAGCUGUGGCUCACAAAAGCUUAUUGUACCUCUAUACUUCCUUAGUGUGUCUGACUUCAGACUAACACAGCUGACUACCUCUCUGACUACCUGAUGCAGCUAAUUACCUCUUUUCAAAUGUUUGAAUUCAAAUAUAACAGUUAUGCCCAAACAGUACUGUACAUAUUUCAGGGACAGCUAACCUUGACAUCUUGAAAAGAAACUGGUUCUUGUCCAUGGAUUUUCAUUUGUUCCUGGAUAGCCUACAGCAAAGGAAAGGUUCAGUUGCAGAGAGGAAGAAUGCAUAAACCAAAGAAACAAAACUACUGUAGCAUUUUGUUAAUGCUCCAUGCUAAAUAUUUGAUAUUUCUGCAUCUAUAGUUAGACUGAACUGUGAUUGAAAAGAGAUACAUUAACAGUAAUGGUACCCAGCCUCUCCUUCAUGUGCUGGGUGAGUGAUCCAAUGAUGAAAGGACCUGGAACCCACUCAUCCACAAAAGCAGAAUUUGAUUAAGGCACAGGUACUAUAAGCCUGUGUCCAGGUUGACAGCCCAAGUCACUCCAAUAAAUCAAAACCAUGGUUCUCAUUAAAACACAUUUUAACUCUUGAAGAUGCAAAGUAAAGCUUGAAAAAUAUGAUCCAAGAUGUUACUGAGGCCUUCUCAGACAGCCUUAUGCACUUGUGUGUGAUUAGAGUUAUUCCUGAUUAACUCAACUUGAUUUGCUAAAGGUGCAGACACAAAACAAAACUGCUACCAUGUUAUUUAUCCCCAAGUUUACACUAGUAAGAGGCUGAUACAUGAUCAUCUCUCAGUAGGUACUAUCAUUACACCUGGCCAGUAGGUGGCAGGAGAGGCUGUUUGCAUUGAGCAAAGGGCUGCCUCCGGUUGAAACCGACUUAGACUGUACCUGAUGAGAUAUCUCCACUCACCUAUUUCCUGUUCCAUUCACUUCAGAAGUAAACUAAACUAAACCAAACCAAACCAAACCAGGAAAAGGCAUUUUUAGUCCAGCAUAACAAUGUUUAAGCAACAAGCUCUUCAGAAAUAGUUCAUCAGCUUUAAAUUCCAAUCCUAUCUAAAUCCAGAAUAUUCUUUUUGUUUAGAUAGAAAUCCUUAAACUGGGGACUGCAGGAAGAACAAACAGGGAGGCUACAGAAUGACUUCCCAGAUAAGAACCUUCAGGCAUGCAUCUGAAAGAAGGAGUAAAACCUGCCCCUUGAAGUACCUUGCAUCUUGUCUUCAGUAGUAAAGAUGCAGGCUUGUGUUUUGUUAGGUGGGGCACACAGCUUGGCUGUCAAGGAAGAUAAGCUGACAACCUAGAGAGAGAACCUGUAGUCUAAGGAACUUGGGUUUUCUCCUCUCCAGAGCCUACAGUCUUAGGAAAAACUAGGUAUGCAUCUGCUACAAAAUGUCUGUAUUCUAAAUAAUAUUAUCCUUUAAAGGGACUGUCUGUUCACUACUUACCGCUAUUGUUGCCCUAGGGAAGAGACUGGUAAUCUAUGGCCUGCAGGCCUGAUCCAGCCUGCCAGGAGGGGAUUGGUGGCAUGGAGCUGUACCAUGCUGCUCAUCUCCUAGGCAGUGUUCCCUUGCACUACAGAUCCUGCUGCUCCCCAUAUCUGUACUUCCCUUGCUGCAGAAGAACUAGGAACCACUCAGAGGAAGAGUGGGGAAGGGCAGAGCCUUGCCCCAUUGCAAGCUCCAGCCCGCCCCAGCAGAAGGUUGCAAAUCUGUGUCCUAGAAGAAACACAUUUGAGGGUCUGGACCUGCUGAGCCAACUGUUAGCUAGAGCCUGGUCUGGGACCAAGAUAAUCACACAAUUUCACCAUGGGAGACGGGUGAUGGCUGGAGACCUGGGACUCAGAAGAGGGGCACAGAGAAACCAAGAAGAGUCCAAAGUGCAAUUUCCCAGUAUUAGGAAACACAUUGGGAAGGAAGACAAACCAAACCAUCAGAAGAUGAAAGAACUACCAGUCUCCAUGGCAGUGUGCUAUAGCUACAUUUUUAAAAAGAACUUGCUUUAUGGUUGGUUAAAAUAAAUCUUAGCUGUAUUUAUACUAAACGAUAAACCUGAAAGAGGAUUCAGCAUCUUUGCAGGAGGUGCAUACAAAAUUUAUCGGCAAGUAUCUACAACAAGGGGAUAGCCUACCCAGAGUAUUUGGUAAUCUAGAUUUCCUACUAACCACUUAUCCAUUCACAGAAUGGUUCUAGAUUGAACUCUGUGUGUAGACAUUGCCAUUCUGGAAUAUGUCUGCCUAUGUCCUUAGACCAACAUGGCUACAACCUACACCCUUGUUCCUAUUUAGCUUUAGCUUAACCCAAAGUGAAGAUUAACAGGACCAAGGUAGGCCAAGCCUACACUACACUGUUUUGGCAGCAUCUAGUCAAAAAAUCAUGCUAAUUAACACAGCUGUAUCAAUGCCACCACCCCCAGCCUCCAAAACCCCCACAAUUUAAGGCCAUACACAGGAAUUCAGUUUCUCCUGGAAGAAUUGCUGUUCCCCAGGAGAAACUACAAGUAUACAAACAUUCAGGAUUUUUCUCCCAGGAGAAAAACAACCUGGGAACAACCAGAGUAUUUUCUCUUGGGAAAGCAAGUGUCUGUACACUUUUGCUUCUGAGAGGCCACAGCACAGGCCUCCAGCAUCUGAGGGUGCUUUGUCCCUGGCUGUUUCCCCUUCCCCAGUGACAACAUGUUGCUUGUUGGACUCUACUGCUCCAGCCAAGCAGGGAACAGAACACACCCCUCCACAAUCCUACAUUAUGAUGCAGGGAGGCACAGAUUGACCCUGAGCAGUUUGGGUCAGCCAGUCAGGGCUGCCCUACUCACUCUAACCAUUCUGUCCCAAGGCAGACUGAGGGAGCCUGCAAAGCAUGCUAAGAUGUGUGCACAGGGGCCCCCUAACUGUGCAGGGUUGAGAAGGUCCAAGGAAAGAACCUGAUCAAAUGGCCACUAAAGAUUAGGCUGUUAGUGAGCAUAGAGCAAAAGAUGUACAGAUUUGCAAACAAUGCCAAUUCAUGCAGGUUCAAGCAAGAAAUCACUGAAAGUGGGAUGUUAGACAAAUGUAAUGAGACUAUUACUGAGGUCCAUUUAAAAAAAAAUAAAACAACAACAACACUUUUCACCAUCUGAACCUCCUGCAGCAGCACACAUAUUGAAUGAAUUGGAUUUAUGCUCUAUGUGAAAAGCAGCUUUGGAAGGAUUGUGCAUCAGCAUGGCACUUGCACUAGAAAAAUUAAAAAUGUUCCAGUUUUUAUUUAGAAGAUCUCUGUUGAAAGAACCUGCUUUUUCAGACUGUUUUUGUUGAACAGACUGGAGGUUUAUUACUGAACCAAAAUGAAGAGGACAAGAUUACAAAUAAAACUUUGUGAGCUACA
Long non-coding RNA from Alligator mississippiensis (American alligator), 3646 nucleotides. RefSeq lists it as uncharacterized. The transcript is spliced from 2 exons. The record is from RefSeq and is a predicted model, not a curated record. Lineage: Eukaryota; Metazoa; Chordata; Crocodylia; Alligatoridae.